UAGGGAAUAUUGGACAAUGGGCGAAAGCCUGAUCCAGCAACGCCGCGUGCGCGAUGACAGCCUUCGGGUUGUAAAGCGCUUUUAGAGGAGAUGAGAAAGGACAGUAUCCUCAGAAUAAGCCUCGGCGAACUACGUGCCAGCAGCCGCGGUAAAACGUAGGAGGCUAGCGUUAUCCGGAUCUAUUGGGCGUAAAGCGCGUGCAGGCGGUUUGAUAAGUUGGAUGUGAAAUCUCCCGGCUUAACUGGGAGCGGUCGUUCAAAACUAUCAGGCUAGAGAAUGGGAGAGGAGGGUGGAAUUCCGGGUGUAGUGGUGAAAUGCGUAGAUAUCCGGAGGAACACCAGUGGCGAAAGCGGCCUUCUAGGCCAUUUCUGACGCUAAGACGCGAAAGCUAGGGUAGCAAACGG
Molecule: ribosomal RNA, 404 nt
Filed under: uncultured bacterium
Lineage: Bacteria
Description: bacterial SSU rRNA
Rfam family: Bacterial small subunit ribosomal RNA
Source: RNAcentral